GGCUCAUUAAAUCAGUUAUCGUUUAUUUGAUAGCCCCUUACUACUUGGAUAACCGUGGUAAUUCUAGAGCUAAUACAUGCUGAAAACCCCGACUUCGGAAGGGAUGUAUUUAUUAGAUUAAAAACCAAUGCCCCUCGGGGCUCACUGGUGAUUCAUGAUAACUUCUCGAAUCGCACGGCCUUGCGCCGGCGAUGGCUCAUUCAAAUUUCUGCCCUAUCAACUUUCGACGGCUGGAUCUGGGCCCGCCAUGGUGACAACGGGUAACGGAGGGUUAGGGCUCGGCCCCGGAGAAGGAGCCUGAGAAACGGCUACUACAUCCAAGGAAGGCAGCAGGCGCGCAAAUUACCCAAUCCCGACUCGGGGAGGUAGUGACAAUAAAUUCCAAUAGCGUAUAUUAAAGUUGUUGCAGUUAAAAAGCUCGUAGUUGAACCUUGGGCCUGGCUGGCCGGUCCGCCUCACCGCGUGCACUGGUCCGGCCGGGUCUUUCCCUCUGGGGAGCCGCAUGCCCUUCACUGGGCGUGUCGGGGAACCAGGACAUUUACUUUGAAAAAAUUAGAGUGUUCAAAGCAGGCUUAUGCUCGAAUACAUUAGCAUGGAAUAAUAGAAUAGGACGCGCGGUUCUAUUUUGUUGGUUUCUAGGACCGCCGUAAUGAUUAAUAGGGACAGUCGGGGGCAUCAGUAUUCAAUAGUCAGAGGUGAAAUUCUUGGAUCUAUUGAAGACUAACUACUGCGAAAGCAUUUGCCAAGGAUGUUUUCAUUAAUCAGGAACGAAAGUUAGGGGAUCGAAGACGAUCAGAUACCGUCGUAGUCUUAACCAUAAACUAUGCCGACUAGGGAUCGGACGAUGUUAUUUUUUGACUCGUUCGGCACCUUACACGAAAGUACAAGUUUCUGGGUUCU
RNAcentral lists this ribosomal RNA (900 nucleotides) under Ophiostomataceae sp. NISK-93-208/44. RNAcentral describes it as "SSU rRNA". It matches the Rfam family "Eukaryotic small subunit ribosomal RNA", at positions 95 to 1115 of the family's 1831-position model. Lineage: Eukaryota; Fungi; Ascomycota; Sordariomycetes; Ophiostomatales; Ophiostomataceae. The record is from RNAcentral.